GUGUCAGCCGCCGCGGUAAUACGUAGGGUGCAAGCGUUGUCCGGAAUCACUGGGUGUAAAGGGAGCGCAGGCGGGUUGGCAAGUCGUUGGUGAAAUCCUGAGGCUCAACCUCAGGCCUGCCAAUGAUACUGCUGAUCUUGAGUGCAGAAGAGGAAGACGGAAUUCCUGGUGUAGCGGUGAAAUGCGUAGAUAUCAGGAAGAACACCGGUGGCGAAGGCGGUCUUCUGGUCUGUAACUGACGCUCAUGCUCGAAAGCGUGGGGAGCAAACAGGAUUAGAUACCCUGGUAGUCCACGCCCUAAACGAUGGAUACUCGAUGUCGGGUCGUAAGGCCCGGUGUCCAAGCUAACGCGUUAAGUAUCCCACCUGGGGAGUACGAUCGCAAGGUUGAAACUCAAAGGAAUUGACGGGG
This 411-nucleotide ribosomal RNA is filed under the name uncultured prokaryote. RNAcentral's name for it is "bacterial SSU rRNA". It matches the Rfam family "Bacterial small subunit ribosomal RNA", at positions 505 to 918 of the family's 1533-position model. The record is from RNAcentral.